GUCAAUGUAUCUUUAUUUUUACAUUUUUUUUUUAAUUUUGUUUUUAAGUUUUCUUUUUCUUAAGUUUUAUAUCUCUUAUAUAUUAAAAGAUGAGCAUUUUUAACAAAAUCUCAUGCGUCAUAGGUUUAUUCAUAAAUUUGCCAUUGUGAUGUAGCAUCAUUACAAUUCUCUAAAUGAAUGCAUGUUUGUGUGUCAUCAUAUUUAACUACUCAAAGAAUAGAAAAACAAGAGAGAGAAGAGAGAAGUUUUUAUCUCUCUUGGCUCUCCCCACUCCGCCGCAAAAUCCUAGCGCUGCCGUUCUCAAUCUCGCGUUCAAGGGGGCUGACGGAUUUUCUCGCUGUUGGUUCCCUUCCUCCUCCGGUUCUAUGUUCGUCUUAGCCUCAUACAUCGACCCUAGCAACAGUCGUCACCCCUCUUUGUCUUGGUGCUCUGGAUCUCUUCCGCGUAAGACCUAAUCGAAAGUUGUG
This 467-nucleotide long non-coding RNA is filed under the name Brassica rapa (field mustard). Its description in RNAcentral is "long non-coding RNA (BRAP_LNC002921)". The record is from RNAcentral. Lineage: Eukaryota; Viridiplantae; Streptophyta; Magnoliopsida; Brassicales; Brassicaceae.